This 88-nucleotide non-coding RNA is filed under the name bovine gut metagenome. Its description in RNAcentral is "S10-Clostridia ribosomal protein leader". It matches the Rfam family "S10-Clostridia ribosomal protein leader". RNAcentral also lists the same sequence under 1 other name. The record is from RNAcentral.
GCGAUGAAGCGGGAGGUUGCGGCACAUAUUGUUAAAAAUAUGUAGUCGGUUUUUCCGUGGAGUAUGUCCGAUUUUAAACCGGGCGACA